UGUAUUUGUGGAUAAUCUAAGCACUAUACCCAGAUGUACAAACACUCUUUUUUCCUAAUCUAUGUAUUAUAUAAUUUUUUUUAACAUUAGGUUUAAUAAAAAUGUUAUACACUGUCAAAGGUACACUACCCCAUGGCUUCUAGAGAUCUCGCCCGCCUCAAGCACUGUGCCUCUGAGUGUUUCUACACUUUUGCAGCUCUGUCUCACAACCAUCCCCCUGUUACUGGCAGCAGCAGGGAGCCACAAUCUAGGCCUUUGAUUUAUACAGCAGCUCAGAUUGGCUAUGUUAGCGACUUCAAUUUCUCUCUGUCACUGCUAUGUAUCUAGGACUUAGUUUCUGUAUUCUCUGUUCCAUUUCUCAUUGCUACAGGUUCUUUAACCACUGGAUGCCUCUUUGUGUUUUCCAGCAUUCAAGCAAUAAAUUGGCACUGGGGCCUGGUUUUAAAUCUCUUGCUUUCAGAACAUCUUUUGCUUCAUUUACACCUGCAAAUACCAAUCACUAAAAGAGCCGAUGGCCUGAAUAUGAAAACAUUAUCAUAGGUAUCAGAGGAGAUGCUAUAGCUGAAGAGAACAUCUGAUGCUAACGUUCUUUUAUAAGCCACAAGUGGCAUCUUUGAAAUAUGGAGAGCUGGGGUCUGGCUUGUAUUGGGAAAAUUGUAGCAAUGAGGAGGGUUAUAUAUAAUUUGAAACAUCAUGUGCAACAAUAUAACAAUCUCAAUUGAUGGGGUUUUAUGCCUUUGAAUCCGUUUUGUUUUUCUGAAAUGAUUUUUUGGUCGUUUUCAUGAUAUGUGCAGUGGAAAGAUUUACUGCCAGAAAAGAAAGGGAAACUUGUGCAGUUAAUCAGACUAUAGGGACCCUCAGACCCUUUCUUCUCCCGACUCCCUUUGUCUUUCUCAACCCUUUUCUUUCCCUUUUGGGAUUUGACUAGCCUGAGAGUUAUAAAGAAAGAAUAUGUGUAUAUGUUCUUUUCUUCUAUAACACCAUUCCCCACUCUCUCCAUGUAUAAUGACCAAAGAAUAUAAAUGUCAAAUGAAUCCAGACAGAAUGUUUCAGUUGUCUGUUAUGUACAUGCUGCAUAAAUUAAUGACAGAUGCCUUUUUCUCUCCCCCAAAACAGAUGUUGUCAUUUUCCCUUUGAAGCAUCUCUUUUUGGAUCCCUGAAAUGCUUUUUUGCUUUGAUAAUUGCCAGUGAACAAACAUGCCUAUAGCUGGAGGGAAAAGAAAGAGAGGUUGAAUAGGUUGAUUUUGGAUUAUAUGACUGCUAAGGAACCGUCUCCUUCUCUGAUAUAAUUUGUAAUACUAAGAUUUGAAGAGAAAAUGGGAGAGAUGAACACAUAUGUACAUUGAACAAAGACGGACUUUAAGGACACAACUGAAAUAUGGUUGAUACUCUGUAUGUAUGAUAAUUAAAGCCCUUUGUAUCCCAUGAUUCUCUAGCUAUGGAAUUUGCUAUAGAUCCACCUGAAAGGAUAACUCUGAGAGGUGUGAACUGUCCCAAGCAUCUCAAUGGGAUUGUUAACUUUUAAACCUGCUCUGCAAAGAUCCGGUGACCUUGCUGCAGACUUUAGUUCCAGCUUAGUAUGGGAUAUACAGAGCCCUAUGAACUACAGCCAACAGUUGGAGAUGACAGCCUCUUCGAUCCAAGGGUUUCAGAUAGGGAACUGCUCAGAGGAGUAUGUUGUUAUAGACUAUUUGAUCAGAACAACGGGUCUAUGAAGUUUAAAAAAUCAUUAAAAAUCAAGUAAUCUUUAAGUAGAGUAAAUAAACAUUUAAAUAGCUAAAAAAUGUAAUGCAUGUUUUAAUCAGAACAUGAAAUAUUCUCUAUAGAACAAAGAAAAUAUGAAAUAAAGAAAAGAUAACUGUGAAUUUGAGGGCUAUCAUCCCACCAAGAGGGUCUGACGCUCCUCCUUUUCCCUUUCUCCAACAGCUGCCUCUCCAUUCUUCUUAAACUAACACUAGAACAGAGUAGCUUACUAUCCUGCUUUGGCUGUAUUUCCUUCACCUUUCAUAACUGUGGCUCCUCUUUCUCCACUGAAGUGUUCUUUAACUUCUUCAGUGACCUCUCUGCUACUAGAGCAGCUCUUGCUUUGUUCUCUAGUGGCUCUUCAUUAGUUGGAGGAAUCCCACAGUACCUGCACGUAAUUACAAGAGUUUUCUCCUUGUGCUUAGCACUGUAAUCCAUUUACUGGGCUGUGUUUAUAUACUGUGCAACUUUCUGAAGUAUGCUGGGGAUGGUUUCUGUACAUGUCAGACUCGAUUACCUGGGAAUCAGGUCUUCAUGUUUUGCUAAAGACCUUUUCAUUGAAAAAUGGAUUUUCCUAGGAUAACUUAUUACAGCACCACUUUCCACAAGUAAAGCCUAUGUAUAGUAGCCCACAAAGUGCAGUUUUGUGGAUGUGUGUGUGUCAUUCUGGUGACAGUGUUUCUGGGACAACAUCUCAGCUCAAUGUACCUAUGAGCAUUUGCCUGGAAUUUCACUCCAAUUAAUAGUGAUAGAAGAGCGUUGCACUGGAAGACAAUGCACAUUCAUGGAGGAUUCUUCAAUAAAACCAUUUUCCAGGGGCAAAGCGCAUCCAGCUGUUUGGGGAGGACCACAAUAUAGAGCAGGGCGCAAUGCUUGUUGAACCUAUGGAACCUCUUGAAAUGGCUAGUUUUAUUUAGAAAGAAGAAAAACUUUAUCACAGAGCCUGUCCAAACUCCAACUGACCACUGUAAACUUAAAUCUCACUUCUGGAACACUUCAUGUUGGACAUGUGCAUGUCUUAAUUAGGCACAAUGUCACUGUAUCCAGAUUUAGAGACCCCCCCCCCCACCAUAUUAUUUCUUUUGGUUGUAAACCAAAAAGCAGACAAAAUUCUGCCCUGGGCUCUGAGAACACAUACAGGGAUGCGGUACUGCCACCUAGUGCAAGGGUAUAGGGCACAUAGUUCAAUGAAAUUACGACCAGAUACAUUUUGCUAGAGCAUCCAGCAACUUCCAUCUUCUACAGUGUUUCAGGUGAGGGAGUCAGGGGUCUGUGACUCAGGCUCCUUGCUGUAUCCACAGUACUCUGCAGGGUGCUGGUGGGGUCUCCACCAAGGAUGGCAUGCAGGUCGUUGUAAAAGCAGCAAGUCUGUGGCUCAGCACCAGAUCUGUUGGUGCGCUCCCUGGCCUUUUGGUGUGCCUGCUGCAGUUCAGGAACCUCAUUGCUUCAAAUCCACCCAUGAUGUCCUGCACAUUGCUUAGAGUCACAGAUAUGAUUAAUGGCUAUACACACUUACAUUACAACGGCAUGCACUGUGGAUUUUCCAAUUCCAAAAUGAUUGCCCGCUGAUCAGUGGCAAUCCGUAUUUGCAAGCUCUCACAGUGCAAUUGCCACUCACAUCCCCACCGUGCAGUUCUCAGUCUGGUGUCCAUGUGCUGGAAGGAACGUGGCCUUUCAUAUCCAGAAGUUUUGCAGCCAUUCCUUAUCAUCCAAAACCAGCAUUAUGAUGCAAUCCUUCCAGUCAGUGCUCAUUUCUCAGAGCCAGAAGCCGCACUCUACCAUCUGCAGCUGCUCUGGGAAUGCCACCAACAGCCUUGAAUUGUUUGUCACUAUGUCCCUUAGCAAUUUGUCCUCUAAAAAAUCAUCAGUAUCCCCCAUUGUUGAGGUGCUUCCUCCACCUCUACCAGAGGACUGUUCAUCCUGUGUUUGCAAUGUUCAUGAGAAUAGCAUAGAGUUAUGCAGGCUCCAUGAUGCUGUCAUAGUUAAUGAACAGUGAUGAGUGCCACAUGGUUUUGUGGGAUUUGAAAAAAAAAAGCUGUGAAAAUUAUGGAAUUGGGAUGGCAUCAGGGGAUGGAGAAAGAUGCAUGAUGGGAACUUGACCCCUGAUGCCCAGCCCACCUGCAUGACUCAUGUAUGUCUCCCUACGCACUGCAAAAAUUCCCCAAAUGUUAUUGCACUGGAGGGUGGCUCAUGGCACACUGUGAUACCUAGCCAUCAUGCACUGCACUUUGCAUCGACACAAGGCAGUCCUGGUGAGCAUGUGAAGCACUGACACAAGGUGCCAAGUAUGCAUGCACAUGAGUGAUAUACUAACCAUGGCAGCUUUUGAGUCACAGCCAGGAGAGAGAGUUCUCCAGGGAAAGAUACCUUCUGUCUCCCUCAUCCUUGGCCAAGUGAGCUAAGGGUUGUAACCUUGUAAAUACAGAGCUGCACAAGUUCCUAAAGGUGAUGGGGAGAACACUGUGUUUGACCAGAAGACGGUCUCCAAGCAGUUUGUGUCUAGAAAAGAGACAGGAAUGGGAUGAUGCUCUUUCAUAUGAGCAUUGCAAGCACAGGCACACAAUCCUCUGGUACUGGCAGAGUGACAAGAACAACUGCAUCAGCAGUAGAGGACAGAUGCUGUGGGACACAGUGAAAAACAAUCCAAGCUUGUUGGUGGUAUUCACAGGGCAGCUGCGGACAGUGGAGCACCACUUCUGUGCCCAAGAAAUAAAUGCUGACAGGUGAGAUUACAUCAUAAUGCAGGAUUGGAAUGAUGAGUUGAACUUCUGGAUGCUAAAAACCAUGUUCCUGGAUCUGUGAGCUCAUCCCAGGGCAGGGAGACCAGAAUGAGAACUGCACUGACAGUGGACAAGCGAGUGGUGAUUGCACUGUGGAAACUUGCAAUGCUGGAUUGCUACUGGUCUGUGGGUAAUCAAUGUGGAAUUGGAAAAUCCGCUGUUGGGGCUGUGGCACUGCCUGCUAGCCAGCUCAGAUCACAACCCCAAGGAAAAAAGAAAAGGAGGACUUGUGGCACCUUAGAGACUAACCAAUUUAUUUGAGCAUAAGCUCACGAAAGCUUAUGCUCAAAUAAAUUGGUUAGUCUCUAAGGUGCCACAAGUCCUCCUUUUCUUUUUGCGAAUACAGACUAACACGGCUGCUACUCUGAACCCCAAGGAAGUGUUAAGUGUACCAAUGCACUUGUUAGAACAGAACAAAAAGGGAUGUUAUCACGUUACCUGUACUUGGUGUGUGCCCAGUAAUUAUAUUUGCUUGAAAUGCAUGAAAGCUAAUGAAAUGAUAAAAAUUGUCUUCACCUAUCUGUUUCCUGUGAUAGCUAUCUUUGUACUUAAUUAACCUUAGAUCAAAGAUAUAUUAGGAUAAGAGUUUGCUUGAUGUCACAUUGUUCAUGAAAAUUAAUGACAUUGUCUGGAUGUCGGUAACUAAGGCUUUGUCUACACUACCGCUUUUGGUGGCAAAACUUUUGUUGGUCAGGGUGUGAAAAAACACCUCACUGAGCGACAUAAGUUUCACUGACAAAAGCACUGGUGUGGACAGUGCUAUGUCGGCGGGGGGCGUCUCUUGACAUAGCUACCGCUGCUUGUUGGGGGUGGGUUAAUUAUGCCGGUGGGAGAGCUCUCUCUCAGCAGCAUAGAGCGGCUGCCCAGGAGACCUUGCAAUGGUGCAGGUGCAGCUGUGCCUCUGUAAGGUCCGUAGUGUAGACAUAGCCUAAAUGUGUGAUGUAUGUCUCUGUAAUUGAAUGGCCCAUCAACUGCGGUUGAAGCCUUAGAACUUUAAAUAAGAAUAUUAACUUCAAAGCAUGGGUCAUUAUGUAAGACAAUGGAAGAUCCACAUAUUUUGUCUGCAUUUAGUCAACAAAGCAAGACCCAUGUGGUGAUGGAAUCGCUUGCCAGAUGGUUUUCAACUAUAAGAAGGGACCCUAGGAGCCUCUGCAGUUCUGAUCUAUUUGGAUGCUGUCAGGGGCUUUCCAGAUACAAGACAGAGGUCCCCAAAGCCAUUUUGGGCAUCCCUGAGAGACUGGUGGAGAACUACACGGAUACACCAUCUCUGCUUCGUUUUGGACUUACAAACUCUGAGAAACCUGUAAUGUAUAUUACCUGCUUUAACCUCUCAGUAGCUCAUUUCUUUUUCUUAGCUAAUACAUCUUUAGGUUAGUUUAAUAAAGAAAUUGUCUGUGAGCAUU
Molecule: long non-coding RNA, 5926 nt
Organism: Chelonia mydas (Green sea turtle)
Lineage: Eukaryota; Metazoa; Chordata; Testudines; Cheloniidae
Exons: 3
Source: RefSeq, a predicted model, not a curated record